UACGAAGGGGGCAAGCGUUGUUCGGAUUUACUGGGCGUAAAGGGCGCGCAGGCGGCUCGCCAAGUCAGAUGUGAAAGCCCCGGGCUCAACCUGGGAAUUGCAUUCGAGACUGAAUAGCUAGGGUACGGUAGAGGGAAGCGGAAUUUCCGGUGUAGCGGUGAAAUGCGUAGAUAUCGGAAGGAACAUCAGUGGCGAAAGCGGCUUCCUGGACCAGUACCGACGUUCAGGCACGAAAGCGUGGGGAGCAAACAGG
This 253-nucleotide ribosomal RNA is filed under the name uncultured bacterium. RNAcentral's name for it is "partial 16S ribosomal RNA". It matches the Rfam family "Bacterial small subunit ribosomal RNA", at positions 524 to 776 of the family's 1533-position model. The record is from RNAcentral.